Molecule: ribosomal RNA, 202 nt
Filed under: uncultured bacterium
Lineage: Bacteria
Description: partial 16S ribosomal RNA
Rfam family: Bacterial small subunit ribosomal RNA
Source: RNAcentral
CCUUUUUGUUGGGGGAGUAACGUAGGGAAACUUGCGCUAAUACCGCAUACGACCUACGGUGAAGCCGGGACCUUCGGGCCUGGCGCAGAGAGAUGAGCCGAUGCCGGAUUAGCUAGUUGGCGGGGUAAAGGCCCACCAAGGCGACGAUCCGUAGCUGGUCUGAGAGGAUGAUCAGCCACACUGGGACUGAGACACGGCCCAG